This 243-nucleotide long non-coding RNA is filed under the name Elaeis guineensis (African oil palm). RNAcentral's name for it is "long non-coding RNA (EGUI_LNC013911)". Lineage: Eukaryota; Viridiplantae; Streptophyta; Magnoliopsida; Arecales; Arecaceae. The record is from RNAcentral.
CCUUCUGUUUCUGGACUGAGGUAGUCCAUAAGACCAUGCAUAAGAGAUUCUGUGCUAUGAUCCAGACUCCUCUUACCUAUGGAAUCGAUUUUGGUGUCCUCUCGAAGUGAAUUUUCUAUCUCAAUAGUCAAUAAAGGCUGGGUUGACCUAAUUUGUAAGUUAUCUACGGCCUCUUUCCCUUGUCUACCUCUCUUGGACAUGUUUCUCGAAGGAAAAUGUAAAGAAAAAACAAAAAGAACUAAA